Zalophus californianus (California sea lion) is the source of this 681-nucleotide long non-coding RNA. RefSeq lists it as uncharacterized. The transcript has 3 exons. NCBI's taxonomy places the organism in Eukaryota, Metazoa, Chordata, Mammalia, Carnivora, Otariidae. The record is from RefSeq and is a predicted model, not a curated record.
UUCAUGUGAGGCUAGCUGUUCUGUUUUAUGAAUCUGAAUUGCAUGGAACUUGCACGGUUCGGCUGAGAACAUCUCGGGAGAUUUACGGGAGGUAUCCAUGGCAUUAACUGCAGAGCUGAGCUGUAUUGCUUAAUCAACCUGAGAAUAGGGGCUUCCGCUAAAAAUCCACCUCUUCCAGCAACCUUGCAAGGUCGGCAUGAGUAUUACCUUCACUGAAGAGACGGGGACACUGAGACUCAGAGAGGUCAAACAACUCUUCCAGAGUCACACAAUAGAUGGCAAAAGGAGGAUUGGAACCCUGGUCCACCUGACUCCAGUGUCCAUGAUUUGUUCUAUGAUCUUACACCCAGCUUGUUCAAAAGGCUCAUUCAUCCCUUGUGCUAUGGGAAGAGACUGAAUAAUGCCAUCAUCCAUGUGACCAGUCUGCUAGGGUGGUCUGUUUUCCACAAGUCUUCCUGCAAGCAAGGUGUCCUGAGGAUGGUCCAGAACUCACCUAAGGGCUGGGCUAGAACCAGGAUGAAUAGAGCUGACUGGAACAGGAGGCCAGUCUAACAGUGACUCUGGGAAGUAUAUGGGUUGAUCUUAAGGAGAACCUGUGAUUUUAGGCAUCCAAGCAGAGGUGAGGACAGCGAUCUCAGUCGGCCAAUGGAAGUCCCUGUCCUUCACCAUCAGGGUCUGCCC